GAUGAACGCUGGCGGCGUGCCUAAUACAUGCAAGUCGAGCGAACAGAUGAGGAGCUUGCUCCUCUGACGUUAGCGGCGGACGGGUGAGUAACACGUGGAUAACCUACCUAUAAGCGUGGGAUAACUUCGGGAAACGGGUGCUAAUACCGGAUAAUAUAUUUAACCGCAUGGUUCAAUAUUGAAAGACGGUUUUGCUGCAACUAAUAGAUAGAUCCGCUCCGCAUUAGCUAUUUGGUAAGGUAACGGCUUACAAAGGCAACGAUGCGUAGCCGACCUGAGAGGGUGAUCGGCCACACUGGAACUGGGACACGGUCCAGACUCCUACGGGAGGAGGAAGUAGGGAAUCUUCCGCAAUGGGGGAAAGCCUGACGGAGCAACGCGGCGUGAGUGAUGAGGGUCUUCGGAUCGUAAAACCCUGUUAUAAGGGAAGAACAAAUGUGUAAGUAACUAUGCACGACUUGACGGUAACUAAUCAGAAAGCCACGGCUAACUACGUG
RNAcentral lists this ribosomal RNA (497 nucleotides) under uncultured bacterium. RNAcentral's name for it is "partial 16S ribosomal RNA". It matches the Rfam family "Bacterial small subunit ribosomal RNA", at positions 28 to 507 of the family's 1533-position model. The record is from RNAcentral.